This 329-nucleotide unclassified non-coding RNA is filed under the name soil metagenome. RNAcentral's name for it is "partial contains 5.8S ribosomal RNA, internal transcribed spacer 2, and large subunit ribosomal RNA". The stretch from base 1 to 120 matches the Rfam family "5.8S ribosomal RNA", at positions 35 to 154 of the family's 154-position model. The record is from RNAcentral.
GAUGAAGAACGUAGCGAAAUGCGAUAAGUAAUGUGAAUUGCAGAAUUCAGUGAAUCAUCGAAUCUUUGAACGCACAUUGCGCCCCUUGGUAUUCCGAGGGGCAUGCCUGUUCGAGCGUCAUUAUAACCCCUCAAGCUCAGCUUGGUGUUGGGGCCUGCUGCACUGGCAGCCCUUAAAAUCAGUGGCGGCGCCAUCUGGCUCUAAGCGUAGUAAUUCUUCUCGCUAUGGAGUCCUGGUGGAUGCUUGCCAUCAACCCCCAAUUUUUCUAUGGUUGACCUCGGAUCAGGUAGGGAUACCCGCUGAACUUAAGCAUAUCAAUAAGCGGAGAA